Molecule: non-coding RNA, 284 nt
Organism: Jatropha curcas
Lineage: Eukaryota; Viridiplantae; Streptophyta; Magnoliopsida; Malpighiales; Euphorbiaceae
Source: RefSeq, a predicted model, not a curated record
UUCAAGUGCAACUAGAUCAACGCAUACUCCUGGAUCAAAUGGAAAGUUCUUGAAUUCCUUACCUUGCAUAGGAUAAGAUUGAAAAGAGUAUAGUAUCAUCUCUCUUAGCCAAUAGAAGUGUUCUCCUUUUAGUUACAAAAACUUCAUUUUUGUUAAGGAUUAGUUGUAAAUAGAGUUCUAUUAGGAGUUAGAUUCCUAAUUAGUUUAUGAUUUGUAUUCCUAAAUAGCUAGGUAGCAUAGGAAUUCCUUAUAUAUAGACUUAUGUAAUCGAUUGAUGAGAUACA